Molecule: ribosomal RNA, 409 nt
Filed under: uncultured bacterium
Lineage: Bacteria
Description: bacterial SSU rRNA
Rfam family: Bacterial small subunit ribosomal RNA
Source: RNAcentral
GUGCCAGCAGCCGCGGUAAUACGGAGGAUCCGAGCGUUAUCCGGAUUUAUUGGGCUUAAAGGGCGCGCAGGCUGACUGAUAAGUCAGCGGUGAAAAGCAUAGGCUUAACCUAUGUCUUGCCGUUGAUACUGUCAGACUAGAAUAUAAAUGGAGUAGGCGGAAUGACGCAUGUAGAGGUGACAUUCAUAGAUAUGAUUUAGAACACCGUUCGCGAAGGCGGCGUACUCAGAUAUAAUUGACGCUGAUGCACGAAAGCGUGGGUAUCGAACAGUAUUAGAUACCCUGGUAGUCCACGCUGUAAACUAUGAUAUCUCGUUGUCGGCGAUAUAAUGUCGGUGACCAAGCGAAAGCGAUAAGUUAUCCACCUGGGGAGUACGAUCGCUAGGUUGAAACUCAAAUGAAUUGACGG